GAGACGUGUAUACUCCAAAAACUUCACAACACAUCAAAGUCGAAACUAAAGUCUAUGGCAUAGGAUGGGACAAAUCCAUCAUUAAAACCGAUAUUUAUCGACGACUAUUACAAACAGAUCCACGAAGGAAAAAAGAACGAGAACGGAAACUUUUGCUCAAUAAAUCUAGAAGAAAAAGCCAAAUUGUUAUUGACCGGCAGAUUUCCACCUCUGCAUUUUAUCGUCUGCUUCAGGAUCCAAGCA
Molecule: long non-coding RNA, 243 nt
Filed under: Mytilus galloprovincialis (Mediterranean mussel)
Lineage: Eukaryota; Metazoa; Mollusca; Bivalvia; Mytilida; Mytilidae
Source: RNAcentral